RNAcentral lists this ribosomal RNA (327 nucleotides) under uncultured Moryella sp. Its description in RNAcentral is "bacterial SSU rRNA". It matches the Rfam family "Bacterial small subunit ribosomal RNA", at positions 28 to 339 of the family's 1533-position model. The record is from RNAcentral. Lineage: Bacteria; Bacillati; Bacillota; Clostridia; Lachnospirales; Lachnospiraceae.
GAUGAACGCUGGCGGCGUGCUUAACACAUGCAAGUCGAACGGAGUAUUGAGAAUGAAGUUUUCGGAUGGAUUUUUAAUACUUAGUGGCGGACGGGUGAGUAACGCGUGGGUAACCUGCCUCACACAGGGGGAUAACAGUUGGAAACGACUGUUAAUACCGCAUAAGCGCACGGAAGGACAUCCUUCAGUGUGAAAAACUCCGGUGGUAUGGGAUGGCCCCGCGUCUGAUUAGGCAGUUGGCGGGGUAACGGCCCACCAAACCGACGAUCAGUAGCCGACCUGAGAGGGUGAACGGCCACAUUGGGACUGAGACACGGCCCAAACUCC